GACGAACGCUGGCGGCGUGCCUAAUACAUGCAAGUUGAGCGAUGAAGAUUGGUGCUUGCACCAAUUUGAAGAGCAGCGAACGGGUGAGUAACGCGUGGGGAAUCUGCCUUUGAGCGGGGGACAACAUUUGGAAACGAAUGCUAAUACCGCAUAACAACUUUAAACAUAAGUUUUAAGUUUGAAAGAUGCAAUUGCAUCACUCAAAGAUGAUCCCGCGUUGUAUUAGCUAGUUGGUGAGGUAAAGGCUCACCAAGGCGAUGAUACAUAGCCGACCUGAGAGGGUGAUCGGCCACAUUGGGACUGAGACACGGCCCAAACUCCUACGGGAGGCAGCAGUGGGGAAUCUUCGGCAAUGGACGAAAGUCUGACCGAGCAACGCCGCGUGAGUGAAGAAGGUUUUCGGAUCGUAAAACUCUGUUGGUAGAGAAGAACGUUGGUGAGAGUGGAAAGCUCAUCAAGUGACGGUAACUACCCAGAAAGGGACGGCUAACUACAUG
This 497-nucleotide ribosomal RNA is filed under the name uncultured bacterium. Its description in RNAcentral is "partial 16S ribosomal RNA". It matches the Rfam family "Bacterial small subunit ribosomal RNA", at positions 28 to 507 of the family's 1533-position model. The record is from RNAcentral.